GACGGAGGGUGCUAGCGUUGUUCGGAAUUACUGGGCGUAAAGGGCGCGUAGGCGGCCGCUUGCGUCGGAUGUGAAAGCCCGGGGCUCAACCCCGGAACGGCAUCCGAUACGGGGCGGCUGGAGACCGGGAGAGGAGGGUGGAAUAGCCAGUGUAGAGGUGAAAUUCGUAGAUAUUGGCUGGAACACCGGUGGCGAAAGCGGCUCUCUGGCCCGGUUCUGACGCUGAGGCGCGAAAGCGUGGGGAGCAAACAGG
This 253-nucleotide non-coding RNA is filed under the name uncultured bacterium. RNAcentral's name for it is "partial 16S ribosomal RNA". It matches the Rfam family "Bacterial small subunit ribosomal RNA", at positions 524 to 776 of the family's 1533-position model. The record is from RNAcentral. RNAcentral also lists the same sequence under 1 other name.